AUGGGAGACCUAGAACAGUACAAUGGAAAGAUGACAACGACCAUCGGGGGAAUGAGGGGAAGGGCAAGGGAAUUGCCCUCUGGAGGAUGGUCGCCUGCUCUGAUGGGUGAUGGACGUGGUGAGGCCAAGAGAUGUCUUUCUGCAAAGGUGCUGCUAGGUUCAAGGAGUCCAGAUUGCCCAAGGACAGCCCGCCCCCGGGGCACAAGCCUGACACUGCCAUCUGUGCCAUUGGCAUUGGAAAACACAAGCCUCUCAUGCUUGGGGCUUAUGCCCAGCAGAACUUCACACCCAAAAUGUUUUCUAAGGGAUCGGUAGAUUCCAGUUAUUUUGUGUUCAAUGCACUUUAAACAAACAAACAAAAAUGAAAAACUCCAGACUGUUUAAAAUACACAGGUGACAGGGAAGGGGAGGGAAAGAGAAGAGAAAUGAGUGCUCAUGUCUGAACCCAGUUCAGUUUAUCUCCAGUUCAAACAAUAUAUACACUAUAUUAUGUAUAAAUAUGUACACACUUCCUCUAUAGGCCCACAUAUAUAGUGUGUAUAUGUUGCACAUACAUACGUGUUUUAUUCGUGCAUAUAUAUGUCUGUAUGCACAUUUCAGACCCAGAUACUACACAAACAGCAGUAGAGGAAACGAGGUUGGACUCUUGAAACAGAUCACAAAAAAAAAAAACAGCCGCUUGCAGUGACUUUGGUCAUUUCUGUAUGUUCACAAGGAAUGGAUUGUAAUGGAAAAAAGGAAAAAAAAAAGGAACAGCAUUAUGGAAAGAAUGGGCGAAACCAUCUUGGUCCAAUGGGAAUGCAGUAAAGUUCUACACCAUUUCAUCAGUUCUCAUUCUGUCAUUUUUGCUUUCAUUUUUUAAAAAUGGUUAUUUAAAGUGAAAAAAAUGAAAGGUUAACCUAGAUGAACCACAACAAACAAAAAAACCAACUACAGUGAAAGCCGUUAUCUAUGGAAGAUGUCAGAAAUCUCAAAACUCUUGGCCUGGCUCAGAACUACCACGUGCAGCCCAAUACUCUUUUAAUGUUUGAAAUGAAAAGUGAAAAAAAAAUACUUUUUGAAGCACCUUAACGUGGCCAUCCAUUCCAGGAGUGGGUGCCACAUUUUUCUUUGAGCACCUUACUGACGUGUUAUGCUAUCUGCUGUCUUUCUGUUACCUGUUGGCUGAGUGGCUGGCUCUUUACAUAUACAUGCUCGGCCAAAGGGCCGGGCAUGUGUGUCCAUCAUGAAGUUUACUGUGGUAACUGCUGAAAGGUGAACCUGUUUCCUGAUUUUCCCCACCACUGCAUUGUGAUAGGAUUCGGAGAAACCCCAUUCCUUGCACAGAAAUGUUUCUUAUCACACUGUAUCUUAUUAUGGAAAGGAAUAUGGUCCCUUUUUUAGCAAUUGCUACCGUACACACAUACACACACACACACACACACACACACACACACACACCACCCCAUUAUGUACACUGAGACCCAUUUGUAUGUCUUGUGCAAAACAGAAAAUUGUUUUGCGCCCAUCCACCUUCACAUACACAUCCCAGUGGUAUAUUCAGUGUCCAUGUGGCUAUCAGUGUUUCUGCAGUUUCCAUUCCCAGAGCAUUUUUCGAACUGAGGGCAAUUAUUCUGACCAGCUUCUGUCUUUUCAGGCAGGAGAUGGAAUUGACUUUUGGAGAAGAAUCAAGAGAGAGCUUUAGCCCCAAGAGCUUUUGAAAUGAACUUCAAUGGCCUUCUCAGGUCAUUAUGUCCAGUCAAGAGAAGGGAAGGAAGGGAAGGAAGACUGCUUUUUCCAGUCCAUGUACUGGUGUAGGUACAUACACAUGUACACAAACAACACACACAUCCAUCCAUAAAUAUGUACGUGGUUUGGGAUGAGAAGGUCAAUAGUUUUGAGGGGGAGUUUGUUCCUUUUUUUCUCUCAUUAUACUCUUAAAUGGUUGUCAGUUAUCAAAACAAACAAACAAACAGCAAAUUUUUUUUUAAAAAAACCUUGCAUACGCCUUUUCUAUCAAGUGCUUUAAAAUAUAGAAUAAAUACACACAUCCUGCCA
Long non-coding RNA from Phascolarctos cinereus (koala), 2037 nucleotides. The record is from Ensembl. NCBI's taxonomy places the organism in Eukaryota, Metazoa, Chordata, Mammalia, Diprotodontia, Phascolarctidae.